UUCCGUAUUAGCUCUAAGUUCUUUCGGUCCUUUUCAUGAUCCCGACUUUCCGUAUUAUCUCUAAAUUCUUUCGGUCCUUUUUAUGAUCCCGACUUUCCGUAUUAGGUUUAAGCUCUUUCGGUCGUUUUUAUGAUCCCCGACUUUCUGUAUUAGCUCUAAGGUCUUUAGGUCCUUUUUAUGAUCCCCGACUUUGCGUAUUAGCUCUAAGCUCUUUCCGUCCAUUUUAUGAUCCCCGACUAUCCGAAUUAGCUCUAAGUUCUUUCGGUCCUUUUUUUGAUCCCCGACUUUCCGUAUUAGCUCUAAGCUCUUUCGGUCCUUAUUAUGAUCCCCGACUUUCCGUAUUAGCUCUAAGCUCUUUCGGUCCUUUUUAUGAUCCCCGAAUUUCCGUAUUAGCUCUGAGCUCUUUCGGUCCUUUUUAUGAUCCCCGACUUUCCGUAUUAGCUCUAAGUUCUUUCGGUCAUUUUUAUGAUCCCCGACUUUCCGUAUUAGCUCUAAGCUCUUUCGGUCCUUUUUAUGAUCCCCAACUUUCCGUAUUAGCUCUAAGUUCUAUCGGUCCUUUUUAUGAUCCCCGACUUUCCGUAUUACCUCUAAGUUCUUUCGGUCCUUUUUAUGAUCCCCGACUUUCCGUAUUAGCUCUAAGUUCUUUCGGUCCUUUUUAUGAUCCCCGACUUUCCGUAUUAGCUCUAAGUUCUUGAG
RNAcentral lists this long non-coding RNA (696 nucleotides) under Capsella rubella. RNAcentral describes it as "long non-coding RNA (CRUB_LNC000812)". The record is from RNAcentral. Lineage: Eukaryota; Viridiplantae; Streptophyta; Magnoliopsida; Brassicales; Brassicaceae.